UUUCAUAUUUCCUAAUCACUUUCUAAAGCUGUUUUCAAGUUUUAAUUGCUGUUCUUUUAUCAAUAUAAAUAUUUUAGUUCUAAUCAUUGUUUUUUAAUAUUAUUAUAUAGAAAUUUGAAUGUCAAUUCUUAUGUUAUUUCAAGACAUCUUUUAGUUCUUGCAAAAGUCAAUUUAAAUUUAAAAAAACAUUUACAAUAUUUUUAAUUGAGUAAACACAAGCACAAGAGGAAAGUCCUAUGUCACUCUUGGAAUGGUGCUUGCGCGAAUAUAUUUGUAGGCGUUUAUCUUGAAUCGCUGUAGGUUGUAUGCGUCGGGAAAUAUGUGAGGUGGAAGCCCGUUCCACAAAGAAGUGUUCUUCAGAUGAAUGAAUCCCGAUACAGCGACGUCCUUGGGGUAGGCAGGUGGACUCGAUGUUGAUGAGCCGCAACUGCUAGACGCGUCCUUCUUGCCGGAACAGCCCUGGGUGGAAUCAGGCCUGCCCGAUCCGCCUGAUGGACCUCCCCGACCAGCCUCCGCCCGGAGAUCCGAAUGGGAGGCGAGUUUACCUCCGGAAAGUUUUGGUUGUGAGGGCGUUAUCGUGCAUUUAUUUUUCUUCUCCAUUUCCCCCAUUGGAAACCAGACACAUCGACAUGGCGGCAAAACGUGAGUUCCAUGGAACCACUUCACGCCGCCUAAGUCCUAUUUGGUGGUAUUGAACCGGGCGAUGCAAGUGGACAACAUCUACCACCAAAGGGGUUGCUCUUUUAGUCGCCUUUUACGACAGGCAGAGCGUACCGGAGGUCUAUUCUACCCCGGCCCUCCCCGGGGAACAUAUUAUAAUUUAUAUGUAUGACAUAUUAUAACUUAUUACUCUAAUUGUGAUGUUUUCAGUGAGACUGAUGACAAAUUAACUUUAUUAUUUUAAAAAUGUCCAAAUUAAUUAAUUCCUGUUUUUCUUUAGUUGUGUUUUACGUUGGGCACCAAAAAUGUGCUUUUAUAUACAAGUUUGUCAAUAAUUCUUUUGUAUUUUAAAAAAAUUAAUGUGUUUUUCUAGUUGAUUGUACCUAAGUCGCUUAGAAAUAUAUUGUUCUCAUUUCUGAUCAAGAUUCAGUUAAAUUAUGCAAAAAUUAAAUAUAGAAAUUAAGAAAAAUAGGGCUAAAAAUA
Molecule: long non-coding RNA, 1143 nt
Organism: Anthonomus grandis grandis
Lineage: Eukaryota; Metazoa; Arthropoda; Insecta; Coleoptera; Curculionidae
Exons: 3
Source: RefSeq, a predicted model, not a curated record